AAAAAGAGUACCAGACAGCAUAGCCAUCAGUAAAGCACAUCUCAGUACCUCCCAGCCCUGCCUCUGCGGGCACCCUGCUGACACAGCUGGAAGGCAGCUCACAUGCAAGGCUGCCCAGUCUGCCUGCAGGCACAAAACCAACUUCAAAAACCCAAGUGCCCCCACAGGGAGUGUGGGUUUUCCAGUGAACUUGGCCACAAGAAUCAGUCCAGAGUGCAGAGCACAGAUGUCCCAGGAGUGAAUGUCACCCUGUGCUAGAUCUUGAAGGCAAAGUGGGGGAGGUGACUCAUUUAGGGAGGGGAAGUGCCAUUGACCACCCCCCCACACAAGGCUGAUGUAGUCUCCAGUGAUAGAAAAAUCUGGACAUGUUUGUGCAAGGCAAACUAUAGUGGACCUGAAGAACCUCAAAAAAAUAUUUUCCUUUUGAGGAAAACUUCAAUUAUGGAGAAAAGUUCAUGUAAUGCUGUUUCAGUCAUGUGUUACCAAGUUACCAAUGACCCCCAACUCUUCUGGCUUAAAACAAUCACCCUACGUUAUUUCUCACAUCCUGCAAGAUGGACAGGGCUCAGCUGGAUAGUUCUUCUGCUCUGUAUGGUAUCUGUCACAGCCAAGUGUCCAAGAUGGCUUCCUGCUCUUAGUGCUGCACCCCAGCUGGGGCCGCAGGAAGAGAUGUGGGCUGCUGAGCAAUUGUCCCCUUCCAUGUGGCCUUGCUUGAGCUUCCUCCCUGUACCAUGGCCUCGGGGUGGGCCAGUGUUUUCAUGAUUGCUGGAUUCCCAGAGGGUGCAAGAUGCAACAUGGUCUCCACACUCAUUAUUCCCUGGCUCCUUGAAGCAGCUCAGGAGAUAGGG
This 848-nucleotide long non-coding RNA is filed under the name Marmota monax (woodchuck). Lineage: Eukaryota; Metazoa; Chordata; Mammalia; Rodentia; Sciuridae. The record is from RNAcentral.